This 56-nucleotide small RNA is filed under the name uncultured Phytobacter sp. RNAcentral describes it as "Enterobacterial sRNA STnc450". It matches the Rfam family "Enterobacterial sRNA STnc450". The record is from RNAcentral. Lineage: Bacteria; Pseudomonadati; Pseudomonadota; Gammaproteobacteria; Enterobacterales; Enterobacteriaceae.
CGCUAUACUAGCCAGCGAAAUUGCCGGCCCACCGCUUCGGACCGGCUUUUAAUGUG